UACGAAGGGUGCUAGCGUUGUUCGGAAUCACUGGGCGUAAAGCGCGCGUAGGCGGCUUCUCAAGUCAGGGGUGAAAUCCCACAGCUCAACUGUGGAAUUGCCUUUGAAACUAUGAAGCUAGAGUGUCGGAGGGGAUAGCGGAAUUGCUAAUGUAGAGGUGAAAUUCGUAGAUAUUAGCAGGAACACCGGUGGCGAAGGCGGCUAUCUGGACGACAACUGACGCUGAGGCGCGAAAGCACGGGGAUCAAACAGG
RNAcentral lists this ribosomal RNA (253 nucleotides) under uncultured bacterium. RNAcentral's name for it is "partial 16S ribosomal RNA". It matches the Rfam family "Bacterial small subunit ribosomal RNA", at positions 524 to 776 of the family's 1533-position model. The record is from RNAcentral.